RNAcentral lists this ribosomal RNA (253 nucleotides) under uncultured bacterium. RNAcentral's name for it is "partial 16S ribosomal RNA". It matches the Rfam family "Bacterial small subunit ribosomal RNA", at positions 524 to 776 of the family's 1533-position model. The record is from RNAcentral.
UACGGAGGGUGCAAACGUUGCUCGGAAUCAUUGGGCGUAAAGCGCACGUAGGCGGCCUAGCAAGUCGGGUGUGAAAUCCCUCGGCUUAACCGAGGAAGUGCAUUCGAAACUACUGGGCUUGAAUACUGAAGAGGGUCUCGGAAUUCCCGGUGUAGAGGUGAAAUUCGUAGAUAUCGGGAGGAACACCAGUGGCGAAGGCGGAGACCUGGGCAGAUAUUGACGCUGAGGUGCGAAAGCGUGGGGAGCAAACAGG